GCCAGGCAUGGUGGUGCAUGCCCGUAGUCCCAGCUACUCAGGAGGCUGAGGCAGGAGGAUGACUUGAGCCCAGGAGGUCAAGGCUGUAGUGAGCUAUAAUUACUCUACUGCACUCUAGCCUGGGUGACAGAGUGAGAUCCUGCCCCUA
RNAcentral lists this non-coding RNA (148 nucleotides) under Chlorocebus sabaeus (green monkey). Lineage: Eukaryota; Metazoa; Chordata; Mammalia; Primates; Cercopithecidae. The record is from Rfam by way of RNAcentral.